AUAUGGUCAUAUACACACGAAUUACUCUACACAGAGAAUACUCAUCACUUCUCCCUUUUUUUUUUUUAAACAUGGGGUUUCUCCAUGAUGGUCAGGCUGGUCUUAAACUCCUGACCUCAGGUGAUCCACCCACCUCGGCCUCCCAAAGUGCUAGGAUUACAGGUGUGAGCCACCACGCCCAGCCACUUUUGCAUUUUUUGUGCCCUUUUUUCGUUUUCUGUUUUUUAAACAAGGUCUGGGACUCUUGCCCAUUCUGGAAUGCAGUGGUACAGUCUCUACUCACUGCCACCUCCACCUCUCACCUCAGCCUUCUGAAUAGCUGUCUACAGGGACAUACCCCCUGCCAUCUGGCUACCUUUUGUAUUUUUACAGAUGAGGGUUCACCAUGUUUCCCAGGUUCAUCUCUAACUCCUGAGCAUAAGUGAUCCUCCUGUUUUGGCCUGCUUGGGUGCUGUGAUUGGAGAUCAUUUUAGAUUCCAUUUUGGAUGCUCCCAUCUGGACUUGUGUCCCUGUGCUGGAACUAAGUGACCACUUGCCUCAACGUCCAUUGCUGUUCUCUUCAAAUCCAGACCCAUUCUCUUGGUUACGUAUAAGAUUCCAUUUGGGUCCUUUCCUAAGGACUGUGUGUGUCCCUGUGCUGGAACUCAAGUGAACACUUGGCUCAACAUCCAUCGCUGUUCUUGGGAAAUGCAGGCCAGUCUCUUCAUUAAAUAUGAGGACUGAUGUCCGUGUGCUGGAACCCAGGUGAACACUUGGCUCAAAAUCCUUUGCUGUUCUCUAGGAAUUCAGCCUAAUUCUCGUGGUUAAAGAUAAGACUCCGUUAUGGAUGCUUCCAUAGAGACGGUGUGUCCCUGUGCUGGAGCUCAGGUGAACACUUGGCUCAACAUCCAUCGCUCUUCUCUAGAAAUCCUGUGCAGUUCUCUUGGUUACAUAUAAGGAGGUGGUCCUGCUGAUCCCUAGGGGUGCUCCUUCCAGGGGUUCGUAUUCCGGCUUCCAGGAAAUAUGCAAGCAGGGACUGAUGUCCGUGUGCUGGAACCCAGGUGAACACUUGGCUCAAAAUCCUUUGCUGUUCUCCAGGAAUUCAGCCUAAUUCUCUGGUUAAAGAUAAGACUCCGUUAUGGAUGCUUCCAUAGAGACGGUGUGUCCCUGUGCUGGAGCUCAGGUGAACACUUGGCUCAACAUCCAACGCUCUUCUCUAGAAAUCCUGUGCCGUUCUCUUGGUUACAUAUAAGGAGGUGGUCCUGCUGAUCCCUAGGGGUGCUCCUUCCAGGGGUUCGUAUUCCGGCUUCCAGGAUAUAUGCAAGCAGGAUACAAAACUCAGGAGGAUUGCCCCUUGAUGAAGAAGGCUAAACCUGCUGAACCUUUGAAGGAUGGGACCUGGAGAUAAUCCAUUUAGGGGUUGAUGUCGCGGAUUUCAGGAAACACGCAAACAGCGCAGGCGGAGUUUUACCCUCGUCACCGAGGCUGGAGUGCAAUGGCGUGAAUCUGGGCUCACUGCAACCGCUGCCUCCCGAGUUCAAGUGAUUUUCCUGUUUCAGCCUCUAGAGUCGCUGGGAUUACAGUAUCUCAGAUUCCAUUUUGGAUGCUUCCAUAAGGACCGUGUCCCUGUGCUGGAACUCAAGCGCACACUGGCUCCAAAUCCAGUGCUCCUCUCUUGAAAUCCAGCCAGUGCUCAUGCUUACAUGUAAGGUGUGGACGAAGUCUCGCUCUGUCGCCAGGCUGGAGCACAAUGGCGAGAUCUCAGCCUAUCGCAACCUCCACCUCCCAGGUUGAAGCGAUUUUCCUGUCUCAGCUUCCAGAGUAGCUGAAACUACAGGUGUGGAUGAAAUCUUGCGCUGUUGUCAGGCUGGAGUGCAAUGGCGGGAUCUCAGCUUAUUACAGCCUCCGCCUCCCAGGUUCAAGCCAUUCUCCUGCCUCAGCCUCCCGAGGAGCUGAAACUACAGGUGCGCACCACUAUGCCGAGCUAAUUUUUGUAUUUUUAGUAGAAACAUGGUUUCACUAUGUUGUCCACGAUGGUCUCCACGUCUCAACCUUGUGAUUCACUCACUUGGGCCUCCCAAAGUGUUGGGAUUACAGGCAUCAGCCACCGAGUCCAGCCGAUUAUUUUGUAUUUAGUAUAGGGGGUCUCAGUACGUUAACCAGGUCGGAUUACAGCUUCUGACCUCAAGUGAUGCGUUCGCCUCCGCCUUCCACAGUGUGGUGAACAGGUGUGAGCCAUCAUCCCGGUCUUGUGUAUUUCGGUUCAAAAUGUACUCAGAAUCUUUUAUGCUUAGCUUGUGGUCUAUACCGGAGGAUGUUUGUGUGUAUGACAAUGUAUAUUCUUCAACAUCUUAGAUUCCAUUUUGGAUACUUUCAGAGAGACGGGAUGUCCCUGUACUGGAACUCGGGUGAACACUUGGCUCAAAAUCUAUUGCUGUUCUCUAGAAAAUCAGGCAAUGCUUAUGGGUAAAGAUAAUGUAUGUCUAGUAGGCAUUCCUUUUUCUCUUUGGAAACAAAACUCAGGAGCAUGAGCCACUUUAUGAAUAAGGCUAACCUGCUGAGCCUUUGGAACAGUGACCAAAGGAUGGUUCUCUUAGGUGUUCGUGUUCUGAAUUCCAGAAAACGUGCAAACAGGGCCAAAGAUGCAGAUGAACGCAUCUUUAUUUUUGUGUCCAGCUUAAUGCGGUCAAGGAGACUUCCAACAAGAAACCCCAGAGUC
Molecule: long non-coding RNA, 2698 nt
Organism: Callithrix jacchus (white-tufted-ear marmoset)
Lineage: Eukaryota; Metazoa; Chordata; Mammalia; Primates; Cebidae
Source: RefSeq, a predicted model, not a curated record